GACGUAGGUGGCGAGCGUUGUCCGGAAUUACUGGGCGUAAAGGGCGUGUAGGCGGCCUUUCAAGUCAGGCGUGAAAUUCCUGGGCUCAACCCAGGGGCUGCGCUUGAGACUGGAGGGCUUGAGGACAGGAGAGGGAAGCGGAACUCCGUGUGUAGCGGUGAAAUGCGUAGAUAUACGGAAGAACACCAGUGGCGAAGGCGGCUUCCUGGACUGUCCCUGACGCUGAGGCGCGAAAGCCAGGGGAGCGAACGGG
RNAcentral lists this ribosomal RNA (253 nucleotides) under uncultured bacterium. RNAcentral's name for it is "partial 16S ribosomal RNA". It matches the Rfam family "Bacterial small subunit ribosomal RNA", at positions 524 to 776 of the family's 1533-position model. The record is from RNAcentral.